UCAGGUUCAGCUGCUUACCAGUCUGAAGGAGCUGCCCAUGUUGAUGGCAGGGGACUAAGCAUCUGGGAUACCUUCACAAAGCUGCAUCCUGAAAAAAUUUGGGAUCACAGCUCAGGAGAUGUAGCUGAUGAUUUUUAUCAUCUUUACAAGGAGGACGUACAAUUAAUGAAAAAAAUUGGUUUGGAUUCUUUCAGAUUCUCCAUCUCAUGGCCUAGAAUAUUACCCAAG
Molecule: unclassified non-coding RNA, 228 nt
Filed under: Hevea brasiliensis (rubber tree)
Lineage: Eukaryota; Viridiplantae; Streptophyta; Magnoliopsida; Malpighiales; Euphorbiaceae
Source: RNAcentral